AGAAUACGAGACGCUAAGGCGUCGAAGUAGUGUAUGUCAUACUUCCAAGAAAAGCUUGCACUGUCAUAGAUAAAAAACGCCUGUACCAUAACCGACACAGGUGGGUAGGUAGAGUAUACUAAGGGGCGCGAGAUAACUCUCUCUAAGGAACUCGGCAAAAUAACUCCGUAACUUCGGGAGAAGGAGUGCCCUAUUCGUAAGGUUGCAAUAACAAGAUCCAAGCAACUGUUUAUCAAAAACACAGGUCUCCGCUAGGUCGUAAGACGAUGUAUGGGGGCUGACGCCUGCCCAGUGCCAGAAGGUUAAAGAAGUUGGUUAGCAAUUGCGAAGCUGAUAACUGAAGCCCUGGUGAACGGCGGCCGUAACAAUAACGGUCCUAAGGUAGCGAAAUUCCUUGUCGGGUAAGUUCCGACCCGCACGAAAGGCGUAAUGAUUUGGAUACUGUCUCGGAGAGGGGCUCGGUGAAAUAGACUUGUCUGUGAAGAUGCGGACUACCUGCACCAGGACAGAAAGACCCUAUGAAGCUUUACUGUAACUUGAAAUUGAAAUUGGACUUUAUUCGCGCAGUAUAGGUGGGAGGCGUUGAUUAUAAUCUUGUGGGAUUAUUGGAGCCAUCAGUGAGAUACCACUCUUGUAAUGUUAGAUUUCUAACUUUGAAUCAUUAUCUGGUCAAAGAACAGUUUCAGGCGGGCAGUUUGACUGGGGCGGUCGCCUCCUAAACGGUAACGGAGGCGUACAAAGGUUUCCUCUGAACGGUUAGAAAUCGUAUCUAGAGUGUAAAGGCAUAAGGAAGCUUGACUGUGAGACCUACAAGUCGAGCAGGGACGAAAGUCGGUCUUAGUGAUCUGACGGUACUGAGUGGAAAGGCCGUCACUCAACGGAUAAAAGUUACUCUAGGAUAACAGGCUGAUCUCCCCCAAGAGUUCACAUCGACGGGGAGGUUCGGCACCUCGAUGUCGGCUCAUCGCAUCCUGGGGCGGUAGUACGUCCCAAGGGUUGGGCUGUUCGCCCAUGAAAGCGGUACGCGAGCUGGGUUCAGAACGUCGUGAGACAGUUCGGUCCAUAUCCGGUGUAGGCGUUAGAAUAUUGAGAGGAGCCUUCUUUAGUACGAGAGGACCGAGAAGGACAUACCUCUGGUGUACCAGUUAUCGUGCCAACGGUAAACGCUGGGUAGCUAUGUAUGGAGUGGAUAACCGCUGAAAGCAUCUAAGUGGGAAGCCCACCUCAAGAUAAGUAUUCUCAUC
RNAcentral lists this ribosomal RNA (1244 nucleotides) under metagenome. RNAcentral describes it as "bacterial LSU rRNA". It matches the Rfam family "Bacterial large subunit ribosomal RNA", at positions 1564 to 2818 of the family's 2925-position model. The record is from RNAcentral.